RNAcentral lists this small RNA (658 nucleotides) under Pan troglodytes (chimpanzee). RNAcentral's name for it is "retained intron". Lineage: Eukaryota; Metazoa; Chordata; Mammalia; Primates; Hominidae. The record is from RNAcentral.
ACCCUUUUCUGGAGUUACUCCCAGCAAGCUGUUACUCAGACGUCCUGUUGGUUAAUAAAGCUGUCCCUGCAGCAGUUCUGCUAUUGUAUAGACUCAGUCUUAAAAUAGUGGGCUUGAUGUGACAUAUUUCUUCAUAAUAUUGUGUAUGUGCAGCCUCUGUGUAAUUGCAUUAUGCACCUUUAUUGCAUAGUUGAAGCAGUGGCAGGAAAGGAUGCCAUGUGUGUUACUGGGAGAUUAUUCAGUGGGUAUUUUUUCUCACUCUUCCGUUUCAGUACCAGUGAAGGACAAGAAACUUCUGGAGGUCAAACUGGGGGAGCUGCCAAGCUGGAUCUUGAUGCGGGACUUCAGCCCUAGUGGUAUUUUUGGAGCGUUUCAAAGAGGUUACUACCGGUACUACAACAAGUACAUCAAUGUGAAGAAGGGGAGCAUCUCGGGGAUUACCAUGGUGCUGGCAUGCUACGUGCUCUUUAGCUACUCCUUUUCCUACAAGCAUCUCAAGCACGAGCGGCUCCGCAAAUACCACUGAAGAGGACAUGCUCUGCACCCCCCCACCCCACGACCUUGGCCCGAGCCCCUCCGUGAGGAACACAAUCUCAAUCGUUGCUGAAUCCUUUCAUAUCCUAAUGGGAAUUAACCUCCAAAUAAAACAUGACUGGUA